RNAcentral lists this long non-coding RNA (3369 nucleotides) under Podarcis lilfordi (Lilford's wall lizard). The record is from RNAcentral. Lineage: Eukaryota; Metazoa; Chordata; Lepidosauria; Squamata; Lacertidae.
UGAGAUUUGCAAAGGCAUGUAUAACAUCACAUUCCUACACAUAUAAAACUCGAAAUGCACAAGUACAAGAUGGGGAAUAAUAAGCGAGAAAGCAACACUUCCAGAAUGAUUUUAGAAUUCUAGCAGAUAAAAAACUGAACACGAGUUAGUGAUAUAGUGCUGUGGGGAAAUGGCCAUUGCCAUUUAGAUUGUAUCUAUGGACAGGUGACUGCGGAAGUAAUAGUACAGAUCUACUGAAAACUGGAAAGGGCUAAUUUGGGCUACUGUGGUGUGUGUCUCCUGCUUUCAGUUCUGAUUCAAUUUGUCUCCCAGGCAGUAAACAUGGAAGUAAUAGAUUUGAACAAGGGCUGGUCUUCACAUGGACAUUCAUCACUCGAUUGUAACAUCAAAUGCUGAAUUCCUUUGUGUAAAUCAACCAUCGUGCAUCAUCACAAAUAGAGUUGUCAACCUCUGUGGUGACAGUUCACAUGCUCAGUUCAGAGUCUUCACAUUAUUUAUUGCUCUAUCACAGGAAUGUCCAAUGUCUAUUCUAGGGGUCUAAUCCGGCCCCUGUGGCAGUUUAUUUAUCAGGGUCAAAUCCUAAAAAAAGCUCAACAAGUUUGGUCAUGCAUGUUUACUUCUUCAAAUCUGGUCCUCUUUGGAAAAAAUUGGGCACCCCUGCUCUAUCACAUCUGUAGGCCACCCAAGAUAUUUGAGACAGCAUAUAAAGAGUUAUUGUGCAUAUUAUCCUCAGAGCAAUCCUGCAAGGUAGGUUAGACCAAAAGAAAGUAAUUUUUCAGAGAACUUCACAGGCAAGCAAAGUUUUGAACCCUGUUCAUCCCAGAUUGCAAGAGAAACCCUGCAAAUGCUUUUGGGCAAUUUGAAAGUUUUGAAUAUAUAGAGCUAAGCCAAUUCAGAGUAUAACAUAAAUACAAAUUGAUGUGUGUGCAUUAAGUAUGUUUCAUGCUUACUAUCUGAUUUAUGCAGUGGCAUUAUUCUACUGUAGCAUGGCACAUAUUCUUGGAACAAACCCUCAUUAGUCCUCUGUGUGAAAGCAGAAUAUCAGUUCAUGUUAAUUCUCAAAUAAGCAUAAGUAUUUGUUACUGCCUUUGUUUUCUUGUCAGUACCACAAUAAGAUAUAAAUCACACGAGCUAACUAAGGUUUCUGCAAAGGUGGAUAUUUUUUAUUGCAUUUUUACUUAUAUCACUGUGAGAGAAGAACUACCUGCAUUUUUUGUAGUUUUGUUUCAUAUUAUAGAUAACAGUCAUUUCUAAGUUGUUUUCAAAUUGUUCUCAUCAGACCAUAUGAUCUGACUUUUACCCCCCUCUUCCAGCAUUAACUACUAGUGUUCAAGAAUUUCUUAAUUUGGACCCUUUGGGUUGAUGUAUGUACAGUACUGGGCAAAGAUGCCUAUUUGUAGAGGAAGGGGAUAGCAAGCAAAAAGAGGGGGCAUGCAGUAAAGCUAAGCAGCUAUUUCCAAAAUGUAAAGCAUUUUACUUUACUUUUUUUUUUUAAUGCCCUGCACGAUGGGACAAAAUACACAGUCCUUUGCCAUAUUGUCUUUGCAAAGCCUGUCUGUUUGGUCAUGCGCAGAAAGCAGCUAGGCAGUGAGAGUGGGAUGUAUUGACAAGAACAAGAUGAAUGACCCCCUGGAGACUGCGGGUUUGUAUGCUAGUUUCCACCACCUUUUCAUCCCUUUGUAACCCAUUUUGGUUCACAUGCAGAUUAAUUUUGACCAAGUCCUUACCAAAUGCUCUCUUCUUUUCCAGCCACUUAGCUUUGGAAGGUAGACUGGAGAAUCUAAAUAUUUAUGAGGUCUUCUCUCUCUCUCUCUCUCUCUCUCUCUCUCUCUCUCUCUCUCUCUCUCUCUCUGGUUUAUGAUGCACCGUUGUUGAAUGUAGAGGAAUUACGUUAAUGAAUGCAUGCCUGCACACACAGACACAGAAACCAGGCAAAGGGGGAAAACACACACAAAGCUUUGUCAGCUCUAAUGUCGGCUCUUACCAAACAGUUCCCAUGGAAAAAGAGAGAGAGAGGCAAACAGAUUCAAAAUCUUGCCAGGAGAAAAGGUUGUACAAAAGAUGAACAAAGUUGCUUCUUUGCUUUCCUUGGCUAUAAAAGUGCCUUGUUUCAUAUUGGGGCGGAGGGUGGGGGGAAGCCAAAAUGAAACACAUUCAUAUACAAAUUAAAAGUUUGUUUAAAAUGCUGUAACUGAUUUGAGCUGCUCAGUAGCACAGAGAGAAGUCCUAUAUUGUGCUUGGAUCAAUGCAACCCCGAAACAAAAAGUUAACAAAUGGCACAGAUCUUGUUUGCUUAUCUUCUUGCAUACUUUCUUUGUCUCUGAGGAUUUUGUAUACAAACAGAUAUCAACUGGACAGGAUUGUAUGACAUAUGGUGAAUGCUGAUGUUCUUUCUUCCCUUGUGCAAUGUUUGUGAAACUGGUCCAUGCUUGACUAAGACUGUCAUUCUGUAUAUACUUAGGAACAAGCCUCAUGGAACUCAAUGGGUCUUACUUCUGAGUAGACAUGCAUAGGAUUGGGCUAGAAGCUCAUGCUCUGGACACCUCCUGCCUUGACUACUGCAAGCCUCCUUUCUCAGACUUUCCCUUGUCGUGCAUCAAACCUCUCCCUGCCUCAGAACUCCACUGCCAAAAAUGAUAAACCUUUCUAGUCACUCAAACUAUAGAGCACUAUAUUUAACUAUAUUUAAGUUCAAAUACUUAAAUUGGCUUCCCAUAUAACUUAUGUCCACAACAAACACCUUCACCUGCAGUCCUGUCAGGCUCCCUGUGUGUAUUGUCAGGUAGAUGGGGAAGAACUUGCAGUUACUAGUCCUGUGUACACAGUUUCUCACCUGAAUCAAAUGGCUGGAGCUACUUAGUGGGAAACUACCCCCCCCCCCCCCCCCCAAAAAAAAUAGAAGGUAUUUUCUAAUUUGACAGCAUAACAUGUUUAAAUGAGGUCUUCUAUCUUUGUAUUUUAAUUUAAACAUUUAAUAUGGGUUCAAAACCAUAUUUUACAAUGAAAUCUGCAGAAUUUUACACACAGAUGAAUGCAUUUUAUUAAAAUACUGGAACUGAAAUAUAGACUGCUUUACUUUAUGGCAAAAGACUAAUAUUUUAAAUCUUUAAUUGUCACUGUCCUCCCUGCCUCCACCCUUUUUAUUCUCUGGCCUUCACAAACUUAAGCAGAAGGUGGUACAAAUUUUCUCUGUUUCCUUUCACAACAGAGCAGUAGGACAUGGAAUUUUAAAACAUGCUGUCUGUGUUAGCAUUUUAAAAAUGGUUAGGCAAUGGCAGAAUGUUUGCUUGUUCUUUGAAUACAAUAGGAUUUUUACUAUCUAACUCCUAUUUAUAUUUAUGUCUGUUGGGAUUUCAAAAGCAGUUACCC